Molecule: ribosomal RNA, 209 nt
Filed under: uncultured bacterium
Lineage: Bacteria
Description: partial 16S ribosomal RNA
Rfam family: Bacterial small subunit ribosomal RNA
Source: RNAcentral
UCGGACUGUAGGCUGCAACUCGCCUACACGAAGUCGGAAUCGCUAGUAAUCGCGGAUCAGCAUGCCGCGGUGAAUACGUUCCCGGGCCUUGUACACACCGCCCGUNACACCAUGGGAGUUUGUAACGCCCAAAGUCGGUGGCCUAACCUUUAUGGAGGGAGCCGCCUAAGGCGGGACAGAUGACUGGGGUGAAGUCGUAACAAGGUACC